Long non-coding RNA from Chinchilla lanigera (long-tailed chinchilla), 540 nucleotides. RefSeq lists it as uncharacterized. The record is from RefSeq and is a predicted model, not a curated record. NCBI's taxonomy places the organism in Eukaryota, Metazoa, Chordata, Mammalia, Rodentia, Chinchillidae. The transcript is spliced from 2 exons.
UCCCCAGGGCUCCGUCCAGGAACCUACCCAUAAGGCCAGGUGCAGCCCCUCUGCGGUCCGGCUCAGGUGUGAGCCCCGGCCCUGAAGCUCUCGUGCAAGGCUGGUGAUGAGGACGCUUCUUCAAAAGGACAGCAGUGCCUUCGUCCCCAGCAAGACACGUGCGGCUCAAGACGACUUCACCUCUCCUGGAGCCUCCGGGCUGAGCCUGCAGGAGCAGCCUCAGCCAUUUCAAGCUCCGUCCUCCAGCGCAGAGGCAACUACCCCCAACACGGGACACAGUCUCCUUCCACGGCCCUCCACUAGGUGGGUGGGAGCAUCGGAUACAGAAACACACUCUGGACCCACCCCUGAGGGAGCUGACAGAUUCCACUGGACUUGGGGAGAUAAGAAAAUAUCACUGAAAGCCGGGCAUGGUGGCAUAUGCCUGUAAUCCCAGCACUCUCGGAGGCCGAGGCAGGAGGAUCACAAGUUGUAGCCUGGCCUGGGCAACUGAGCCACUCAGGAAGCCCCUGUCCCUAAAUUUAAAAAAAAAAAAAAAAA